CCAACCACACGUCAGUGGAAUUCCAUUGGAUGAUGUCGUACUCUCAAAAGAAGGACCUUCGACUACGCCGUAUAAAGAAAACAAGAACCCAGAUAUUUGUGGUCGACAUAGGUACGCCAGUUAAAAGAUCUACAGAUGUUUACACAAGAGACACAUUUUAUGUAACCGUUAUUUACGAUACAGUAUUAUGUACCGAUAUAGAUUUUUAUUAAGAUUUGACAUCAUUGUUUACGUUUUUUAAAUAUAAGUACUUUUUUUGAUAUUACGUAAUGAAGAUUAACUAUCUAAAUAUAUAAUUUCGAUACAA
Molecule: long non-coding RNA, 307 nt
Organism: Neodiprion virginianus
Lineage: Eukaryota; Metazoa; Arthropoda; Insecta; Hymenoptera; Diprionidae
Exons: 2
Source: RefSeq, a predicted model, not a curated record